CUCCUCUCGGGGUCACACCUGGAGAGUUUCCAGUACUCUACAAGUCUCGACUACAGGAGGGAGAGUCAAGCAGAGCAUAUCCAUUCCAUCCCUAGCUUGGACAGUAUCUAGUGAGUGGAAGACAGUCUGCUAAAAGU
Molecule: small nucleolar RNA, 137 nt
Organism: Ornithorhynchus anatinus (platypus)
Lineage: Eukaryota; Metazoa; Chordata; Mammalia; Monotremata; Ornithorhynchidae
Source: RefSeq, a predicted model, not a curated record